This 162-nucleotide unclassified non-coding RNA is filed under the name soil metagenome. RNAcentral describes it as "partial internal transcribed spacer 1". The record is from RNAcentral.
CACAAAUUAAAAUAUGAAGGCUUCGGCUGGACUAUUUUUAUCACCCUUGUCUUUUGCGCACUUGUUGUUUCCUGGGCGGGUUCGCCCGCCACCAGGACCACACCAUAAACCUUUUUUUAUGCAGUUGCAAUCAGCGUCAGUAUAACAAAUGUAAAUCAUUUA